RNAcentral lists this small RNA (111 nucleotides) under human gut metagenome. RNAcentral's name for it is "Ribosomal protein L10 leader". It matches the Rfam family "Ribosomal protein L10 leader". From Rfam's summary of the family: This family is a putative r-protein leader autoregulatory structure found in B. subtilis and other low-GC Gram-positive bacteria. It is located in the 5' untranslated regions of mRNAs encoding ribosomal proteins L10 and L12 (rplJ-rplL). The record is from RNAcentral.
AAUACGAAAUCAAAACCGUAGACAGCGGGUGCGAAAGCUUAAUUUCCCGCCGAGGUACAAUAUAAAAAUAUUGACCUUGUUCGUCUGCGAGCGGACAAGGUUUUUUUAUGG